UACAGAGGUCUCAAGCGUUGUUCGGAUUCAUUGGGCGUAAAGGGUGCGUAGGCGGUGCUGUAAGUCAGGUGUGAAAUCCCGGGGCUCAACCCCGGAACUGCACUUGAUACUGCAGUGCUCGAGGACUGGAGAGGAGAUCGGAAUUCAUGGUGUAGCAGUGAAAUGCGUAGAUAUCAUGAGGAAGACCAGUGGCGAAGGCGGAUCUCUGGACAGUUCCUGACGCUGAGGCACGAAGGCCAGGGGAGCAAACGGG
This 253-nucleotide ribosomal RNA is filed under the name uncultured bacterium. RNAcentral's name for it is "partial 16S ribosomal RNA". It matches the Rfam family "Bacterial small subunit ribosomal RNA", at positions 524 to 776 of the family's 1533-position model. The record is from RNAcentral.